GGAUAAAAUACGAAAACAUUAAAAUGCCAAGGAAAAUGACUGCUUCUGUCAGAAAAUGAUUGUGACAGAGGACACCCUGGGGCUUAUUCAACUUUCUUGGAUUUUGUGAGAGUGGAAAAUAUGCAAAUUUUUGUAAUAAUUUCAUAGCCAAGGAUCCAAGGUUGAGCUUCCUCUGUUCCCAAUCUACCAGGCUUGUUUCCUCAUUUUGCCACUAGAUGGCAAUUGCUCCCCAGAGCAUUUAAGCUCCAAGGAUGUAAAAUCUCCAAAGCUUCCCCGAGGCUUACUUUCAUGUUACAAAUCAGGCCUAGAGCUGCACCAAGUAACAGGGUGCCUUGCAAAGAGAAUUUGUUUUACUCAGUAAUUAAGAAAUCCAGGGCCCUUUCCUGAAAUUGAACCAGGGAAGGGGUGAUUGUCCAGAAGAGCCACACAUGACUCCCUCACUCCCUCAGCCAGCCUGGGUUUGCUCCUGCUGCCACAAGGCCUUUCCACUUGCCAUCGCACCCUCCUGGACCCGCUCCCCGCUGCAUUUGGACAGCAUGCUCUGUUAUGUCUUUACUUACAAGCUCGCAGCCCCCUUACCGUAAGUCCCAGGACAGCUGGGGCUGUGUCCUGUUCCCCAGACCAUCCCCAGCCUCAAUAACUGUGCCCACUACAUCAUAAUAAACAUUCACUUGAUAAGAGUACCAAAGUUCUCAAACGUUGCUCUUCCUCUAGCUGAAACAACACUUGCUGUUUUCCUUACGAAAGCAAAUCCAGGUGCCAGAGAAAGAGAGACACUCCAAACAGCCCGGAGCUGGAUGUGGCAAUGGUCCCCACCCCCCACCAGUGGAAAUCACAUCUCAUCUCCGACGUGUAUCUUGAGUCUCCAGUGAUGACGGUAAGGCUAAUAGACUAACCUGAGAUAGUUGGGGGAGAGUUAGGCAUGAUGCUUUCCUUUCCUUAUCAGUAACAUGGCUUCUAAUGUAAUAGUCAUUGUAGAGAAAAAGCUGUUGCCAAAAUCCCAGAUUCCUUUGUUUGGUACAUGCCUCAAACUCAAGUUAAUUCAUCCUCUCCUUCCACAGUCUGUCCCUGACGAUGGCGUCCCAGCUGCAGGACUUCAGUCAUUGUUCUCCUUGACCCCACAGAAAUCAUGGCUGGUGGUUCUGAAGCCCUGGAAGAAAUGUACCUCCCUAACCCCACCUCACUCCACACACAAUUACACUCAGGGUUAA
Molecule: long non-coding RNA, 1211 nt
Filed under: Cervus hanglu yarkandensis (Yarkand deer)
Lineage: Eukaryota; Metazoa; Chordata; Mammalia; Artiodactyla; Cervidae
Description: lncRNA (ENSCHYG00000000821.1)
Source: RNAcentral